GAUGAACGCUGGCGGCGUGCCUAAUACAUGCAAGUCGAGCGAACAGAUGAGGAGCUUGCUCCUCUGACGUUAGCGGCGGACGGGUGAGUAACACGUGGAUAACCUACCUAUAAGACUGGGAUAACUUCGGGAAACCGGAGCUAAUACCGGAUAAUAUAUUGAACCGCAUGGUUCAAUAGUGAAAGACGGUUUUGCUGUCACUUAUAGAUGGAUCCGCGCCGCAUUAGCUAGUUGGUAAGGUAACGGCUUACCAAGGCAACGAUGCGUAGCCGACCUGAGAGGGUGGUUCGCCACAGUUGAACUGGAAACAGGGCCCGACUUCCACGGGAGGCCACAGGAGGGGAUCUUUCGGCAUGGGGGGAAGGCUUGAGGAGCAACGGCGGGUUGGUGAAUAAGGGUUUCCGAUUCUUAAAACUUGGUUUUAGGGAAGAAAAAAUUUGUAAGUUAACAAUGACGGUUUGAACGGUACCAAUCAGAAAGCCACGGCUAACUACGUG
RNAcentral lists this ribosomal RNA (497 nucleotides) under uncultured bacterium. RNAcentral's name for it is "partial 16S ribosomal RNA". It matches the Rfam family "Bacterial small subunit ribosomal RNA", at positions 28 to 507 of the family's 1533-position model. The record is from RNAcentral.